RNAcentral lists this long non-coding RNA (1415 nucleotides) under Homo sapiens (human). RNAcentral's name for it is "HSALNT0089798". Lineage: Eukaryota; Metazoa; Chordata; Mammalia; Primates; Hominidae. The record is from RNAcentral.
UUUUGUUUCUCUCUACCUGACUUCCCCAGAAUUUGGAAACUAGUUGGUUCACAGCGAAAUAAAGACUUUCCAAGACAAAAGCUGAGAGAUAUUAUCCAUGCUAGACCUGGCCUACAAGAAAUGCUAAAGGGAGUUCUUCAACCUGAAAGAAAAGGUGUCAACUAGGAAUAAGAAACCAUCCAAAGUUAUAAAACUCACUGGUAAUAGUAUAUGCACAGAGAAUAUUAUAACACUGUCAUUGUAAUGUGUAAACGGCUCGUAUCUUGAAUAGAAAGGCUAAAAGGAAAAACUACUAAAAGUGAUAACUACAACAACUUUACAUGACAAAAAUAGAAAACUAUUAUGUAAAUAGAAACAGUUAAAAAGAAGUUAAAGUGUAGAGUUAUUAGUUUUCUCUUUGCUUGUUUCAUAGUGUGGUUGUUUUUGAAAUCAAUGUUAAGUCAUCAUCAGUUUAAAAUAAUGGGUUAUAAGAUGUUAUUUGCAAGUCUCAUGAUAACCUCAAAAAGCCUACAAUGGACACAGAAAAAAAAAGCAAGAAAGUAAAACACUGCCAGAGAAAAUCAUCUUCACAAAAAGGAAGACAGGAAGGAAGGAAGGCAGAGAAGACCACAAAACAACUAGAAAACAAAUAACAAAAUGGCAGGAGUAAGUUCUUACUUAUCUAUAAUAACAUUGAAUAUAAAUGGACUAAAUUCUCCAAUCAAAAGACAAAAUGGCUGAAUGGAUGAAAAACAAAAACCAAGACCUAACAACAUGUUGGCUACAAGAAACACAUUUCACUCUUCAUACUAUCAAAAGUCCUAUCAUUUUCAAUGCUUUGUCCUAUUUAAGUAUACUUUUUAGCUAGCUAAGGUUGUAACUAUUAUUAGAGGCAAAAAGAAAAUUAAAAUAGUGAGUAUAUUAUGCCUCAGAAAUGUCUAAUAGAAAAGCUUUAGCAGCUGAACAAAGUCUCUCUGAAAGUUUUUUUUAUUGACCUGUGUUAGAAUAAUAGCAUCAAUAUUCAUUUUUCUGGGUGUAGUAUAGAGUGAUAGUUAAGAGCAGGGUUUUUGGAAUCAGACAACACUUUAUUAUAAUAUUGAAAAAAUUAUUUAAACUGUCUAAUAAACUUUCAGAAUCUCAAAUUCCUUCUUUGAAAAAUGCACAAUUAUAGAUUUUUAAUGAGGAUUAAAUGAGGCAACAUAUGUAAAGCACAUAACAGUAUUCCACACAUAAUAAAUAAUAAAUGAGAGUAAGUUUUUUUUUAAUAAAUUCUAUGGCCUAAUACACUGAGAAUUUUUUUCGUGGAUUUGGAUCUAUGAAUUUUUAAAAAUGUGCCUUCCUUUCAUCACUUUGGUUGGCCAACGCUAUGUGGACUCCUUGCUCUUACUUGCCCACUGGAACUAAUAAAGAAAAUGGUGUUACUUUGAAUAGACAGG